UUUUCAGCUUAACUUAGUUGUAUGUUUCAGGUUACUUAGUUUCAAACAGUUCCAACCGACUAAUCUAUCUAUUGGUCACAAAAAACACUCGCUCUAUUUGCUGAGAAUAGACACGAGUUCCCCUGGGUUGUUAAUUAACUCUAAUCCUAACCCUUAACCAGCCCAGUAGUGAGAGUCAACCCCUUGAGUUAUCUUCCCCUCAAGAGAUCCAAACUGCCUGACCUAGCCUGUCAGUUUCCACAGCUUUUAGUUCUCUCUCACACACACACACACCCUCCAAACUCCAAAACUGAACUGCUCUCUUCAAACCCCAAAACAAAACUGCCUUCUCCAAACCCUCCAAACAGAACUGCCUGGAGCUCUUUUUUUCCUCUCUGCACUCUAAGACUUAGCUCCUCCCAUCUGCUCUGGUUGGCCAAUCCUAGGAGUCUCUCUCUAAGCUCCUCCCCCUAUCUAACCACACUCAAGAUGGCUGCCUGGCAUUCCUCAACAAAAUGGAUGCCUGCCUCACUCACUGUUACCAAGGCUUCAUUCCCGGCUAAUAGGACUUCACAGCAUCUUCCCUCAGCUUGGAAAAAGUUGAGCUUGGGCUAGAGAAACUGAGACAAUGGAAAAAGGAGGCUGAUGGAGAGAGCUAAAGGAACAGGAAAUUGGAUGAAAGAAAAAGAGGGGAAACACAGAAAAGAGAAGACGGGAGCCAUAAAGAGAAUGGGAAAAUAAAACAAUAAAAACUACUCCCCAGAAGGCAUCGACUAUUAGUCUGCCUGCCUGUUAGCUUGUAGCUUCGGUGGAAUCUCUUUGUACACAACCACUAAUGCACACAUACCUAGGGUGCUCGAAGAUAGGCCUCUGUAGUAGAGGUGCUGAAUUAUUUUUUAAUGCUAGAUGAUCUGUAUCACUAGUGGUCAAUGUCUGGGGCAAAAGAAGUCACAGUCAUGUGGCAUGCCCUCCUAAUGCUAGCAGCUACACAACUUGUGUGGGACCCCACCCCUCCUUGACCUUUGCUUUUACCAUAAUUCUGUUUGGUCAAGCAGGACAGUGGCCAAACUGUACAGCCAAAUUUGAUUUUUCUCAUGUUUAAUGAGUACUGACUAUACCAUUUUGCGAACUUACUUACUCUGUUGUUUUUUCUUUUUUCUGUUUUUUUUUUCUUUUUUACUGUCCGUUUUAUUUUUAUAUACACUAUAAAAUAAAAUAAAAUAUUUUAAAAAUUA
This is a long non-coding RNA of Anolis carolinensis (green anole), 1214 nucleotides long. RefSeq lists it as uncharacterized. The record is from RefSeq and is a predicted model, not a curated record. NCBI's taxonomy places the organism in Eukaryota, Metazoa, Chordata, Lepidosauria, Squamata, Anolidae. The transcript has 2 exons.